CUGGAAAACCCCCCAGAUCCCCUCCAUGGCGGAGGUGACAGCAAUGGUCACUACCACCCUGGACUAUGAGGUGAUCUUAUGGAACCAAACAAAAAUAGGCAAAGGGAGUGAUACAGCGAAAAAGAUUUGGACCACAUACAUAGAGAAGAAAACCCUCCAAGCUGCAGCUAGGGGCACUGCCAACACUGAUACAACUACGUAACAAUAGAACCUCGAUGGUUCAUAGCAGCCACACAAGAC
Pelobates cultripes (western spadefoot toad) is the source of this 240-nucleotide non-coding RNA. NCBI's taxonomy places the organism in Eukaryota, Metazoa, Chordata, Amphibia, Anura, Pelobatidae. The record is from the annotation of a GenBank genome assembly.